AAGUGGAGCUUGCUCCAUUAUCUUAGCGGCGGACGGGUGAGUAACACGUGGGCAACCUGCCCUGCAGAUCGGGAUAACUCCGGGAAACCGGUGCUAAUACCGAAUAGUUUGCGGCCUCUCAUGAGGCUGCACGGAAAGACGGUUUCGGCUGUCACUGCAGGAUGGGCCCGCGGCGCAUUAGCUAGUUGGUGAGGUAACGGCUCACCAAGGCCACGAUGCGUAGCCGACCUGAGAGGGUGAUCGGCCACACUGGGACUGAGACACGGCCCAGACUCCUACGGGAGGCAGCAGUAGGGAAUCUUCCGCAAUGGACGAAAGUCUGACGGAGCAACGCCGCGUGAGUGAAGAAGGUUUUCGGAUCGUAAAACUCUGUUGUGAGGGAAGAACAAGUACCAACUAACUACUGGUACCUUGACGGUACCUCACCAGAAAGCCACGGCUAACUACGUGCCAGCAGCCGCGGUAAUACGUAGGUGGCAAGCGUUGUCCGGAAUUAUUGGGCGUAAAGCGCGCGCAGGCGGUCCUUUAAGUCUGAUGUGAAAGCCCACGGCUCAACCGUGGAGGGUCAUUGGAAACUGGGGGACUUGAGUGCAGAAGAGGAAAGUGGA
This 608-nucleotide ribosomal RNA is filed under the name Planococcus rifietoensis. RNAcentral's name for it is "bacterial SSU rRNA". It matches the Rfam family "Bacterial small subunit ribosomal RNA", at positions 71 to 665 of the family's 1533-position model. The record is from RNAcentral. Lineage: Bacteria; Bacillati; Bacillota; Bacilli; Caryophanales; Caryophanaceae.